Molecule: ribosomal RNA, 253 nt
Filed under: uncultured bacterium
Lineage: Bacteria
Description: partial 16S ribosomal RNA
Rfam family: Bacterial small subunit ribosomal RNA
Source: RNAcentral
UACAGAGGUGGCAAGCGUUGUUCGGAAUUACUGGGCGUAAAGGGCGCGUAGGCGGUCCGAUAAGUCCCGUGUGAAAUCCCUCGGCUCAACUGAGGAAUGGCACGGGAAACUGCCGGGCUUGAGUUCGGGAGAGGGAAGCGGAAUUCCGGGUGUAGCGGUGAAAUGCGUAGAUAUCUGGAGGAACACCCGUGGCGAAGGCGGCUCUCUGGAACGCAACUGACGCUGAUGCACGAAAGCUAGGGGAGCGAACGGG